GGCCUUGGGUGCAGGCUGCCCUUUUGGCUCCUCAGCAAAAGCUUGCCAUGUUUGGGGUUCUGGACUUGGUGAUGGACUGCUCGCAAACAUUUGCUGCUGCAGUUCCCAGACUGUCCCUUCAAUUUUCUCCCUCGGCGGAGUUAUUGAUUUCGAGCUCCCUGGGGAGAUCUGGCUCUUUGAGCUGUCCUUGCUUGGUGGCGAGGGACUAGCAGCAGCAAGUGACUGCUUCAGUUCCUGAAUCUCUUGCCUCUGCGAGCGACAAAUGGCAGACAGCUUCUCAUAUUUAGAUGUUACCUCAGCCUUCUCCAAAUUAGCAUUCUUCAGCAGUUCCUUCAGCCUG
Molecule: unclassified non-coding RNA, 340 nt
Filed under: Hevea brasiliensis (rubber tree)
Lineage: Eukaryota; Viridiplantae; Streptophyta; Magnoliopsida; Malpighiales; Euphorbiaceae
Source: RNAcentral